GUUCAAGCGGUGGCUGGGCCGCUGCUGCUCCAGCUCCAGCUCCACAAAUCAUCAAGGUCAUCUCUCAAGAAGCUCCAGCGCCAGAAGCUUCAGCCGGAUGGUCAGCUCCAGAAGCUUCAGCCGGAUGGUCAUCAGCUCCAAGCUGGUAAACAGCCCGAGAUCAAACAUUCAGUAUUUAACCUAUUUUGUAUGGGAAACAAUUGUAAUAUUAUAAAAUAUUGUUAUUUGUUGUGUUCAUUAGUAUAACAAAUUGAAAGGAAAAAAUAAUAAAUUCCACUAAAGUACAAAUGAA
Long non-coding RNA from Sitodiplosis mosellana (orange wheat blossom midge), 292 nucleotides. RefSeq lists it as uncharacterized. The transcript has 2 exons. The record is from RefSeq and is a predicted model, not a curated record. NCBI's taxonomy places the organism in Eukaryota, Metazoa, Arthropoda, Insecta, Diptera, Cecidomyiidae.